GCGCGUGUAGCUCAGUUGGAUAGAGCACCCGCCUCCUAAGCGGGAGGCCUCCGGUUCAAGUCCGGACACGCGCACCA
RNAcentral lists this transfer RNA (77 nucleotides) under Acidobacteriota bacterium. Its description in RNAcentral is "Acidobacteria bacterium (permafrost metagenome) tRNA-Arg". It matches the Rfam family "tRNA". From Rfam's summary of the family: Transfer RNA (tRNA) molecules are approximately 80 nucleotides in length. Their secondary structure includes four short double-helical elements and three loops (D, anti-codon, and T loops). The record is from RNAcentral. RNAcentral also lists the same sequence under 1 other name. Lineage: Bacteria; Pseudomonadati; Acidobacteriota.